RNAcentral lists this long non-coding RNA (842 nucleotides) under Ictidomys tridecemlineatus (thirteen-lined ground squirrel). RNAcentral's name for it is "lncRNA (ENSSTOG00000029218.2)". Lineage: Eukaryota; Metazoa; Chordata; Mammalia; Rodentia; Sciuridae. The record is from RNAcentral.
UGCACCCAAGGACACAGAUGCUGUGGUUACAACUGCUGCCAGGAGAUGACAAUCUUCUCCGGCCCCUUGAGGAUCUUCAUCAUCAUCUUCCUCGUCAUGCUGCCCCUCGUGUGCAUCUGUGGCCUGGCUAAGCGCUUCUGUAGCAAAUGCAGGGAGCUGGAGAGGGAGCCUGCAGAGGAUCACCAAGGGCUCCCAGGCCCACCCUCCAUUUCCCCGCAAGAGAGGGCCAUGGCACCGACCUCUGAGCCCCCACCACCCUACAGCGAGGUUAUUCUGAAGCCGGCCCUGGUCCUGCCUCCCACAGAGCCGCCCCCUCCCUACAGCUUCAGCCCUGAAGAGUAUGCUGGGGUGCGGAGGGGCAUUGACAACCCAGCCUUCUGAGCCCCUCCUCCAUCUUCUCGAGAAAGCCAGAGACUUCGGGGACUCCUGGAACAUCCCCAUCCAUCUUGCCACAUCUCUGGUUCUUCUUGGAUUUAACUUAUUGCUUUUUCUGCCCUCGUUCCUCUCCAUCUGCCUCUUAUCCUAAGGGCUGGGUGGAGCCACAGUAUCCCCUCUUCCAAGUUAGAGGCUGCCAGGAGGAAAAUAUCCACAGCUGAGGUCCCUGCAGUGGACUAGGCUGCUCUGCAGACUAGAGGCAGAGCUGUCACUGGAGACACACAGAUCAUGACUGGACAGCUAGCUCUGAUACCAUGGAGACACUUCUGUAUCCCGGGGAGGUUGCACGGGGUGAGCUCUGAGCCACCUUGAACUCCACCUGAAUGGAGAAGACCGCAUUGUACCCACCCCCAACACAUGCUCCAAACACAUGUGGUCAUUAAAUUUUAGCUGACUGUGACCAGAAU